UUCCCUGCAGAGUGCGUGAUUGCUGAAAUUUUAGAACCAACAAAUUUAAAACGGGAGCCCCAUCUCUGGAUAUGGCGUGUAGGCUUAAAUUUAUUUAAGAAACCCAUAAAUAUCAAGGAAGGCACCCACCUGUGAAAGCAGGUCCUUAAAAUUUCUUCACUGAACGGCUAUUAGCGGGGGU
This 181-nucleotide non-coding RNA is filed under the name human gut metagenome. RNAcentral describes it as "6S / SsrS RNA". It matches the Rfam family "6S / SsrS RNA". Rfam says of the family: E. coli 6S RNA was the first non coding RNA to be sequenced, but its function was unknown until recently. It consists of 184 nucleotides that fold into an extended hairpin structure with a large single-stranded internal bulge. The record is from RNAcentral. RNAcentral also lists the same sequence under 1 other name.